This 497-nucleotide ribosomal RNA is filed under the name uncultured bacterium. RNAcentral's name for it is "partial 16S ribosomal RNA". It matches the Rfam family "Bacterial small subunit ribosomal RNA", at positions 28 to 507 of the family's 1533-position model. The record is from RNAcentral.
GACGAACGCUGGCGGCGUGCCUAAUACAUGCAAGUUGAGCGAUGAAGAUUGGUGCUUGCACCAAUUUGAAGAGCAGCGAACGGGUGAGUAACGCGUGGGGAAUCUGCCUUUGAGCGGGGGACAACAUUUGGAAACGAAUGCUAAUACCGCAUAACAACUUUAAACAUAAGUUUUAAGUUUGAAAGAUGCAAUUGCAUUACUCAAAGAUGAUCCCGCGUUGUAUUAGCUAGUUGGUGAGGUAAAGGCUCACCAAGGCGAUGAUACACAGCCGACCUGAGAGGGUGAUCGGCCACAUUGGGACUGAGACACGGCCCAAACUCCUACGGGAGGCAGCAGUAGGGAAUCUUCGGCAAUGGACGAAAGUCUGACCGAGCAACGCCGCGUGAGUGAAGAAGGUUUUCGGAUCGUAAAACUCUGUUGGUAGAGAAGAACGUUGGUGAGAGUGGAAAGCUCAUCAAGUGACGGUAACUACCCAGAAAGGGACGGCUAACUACGUG